UACGUAGGGGGCUAGCGUUGUCCGGAAUCAUUGGGCGUAAAGAGCGUGUAGGCGGUCCGGUAAGUCCGUUGUGAAAGUCAGGGGCUCAACCCUUGAAUGCCGGCGGAUACUGUCGGGCUAGAGUCCGGAAGAGGCAAGUGGAAUUCCCGGUGUAGCGGUGAAAUGCGCAGAUAUCAGGAAGAACACCCGUGGCGAAGGCGGCUCUCUGGGACGGUACUGACGCUGAGACGCGAAAGCGUGGGGAGCGAACAGG
This 253-nucleotide ribosomal RNA is filed under the name uncultured bacterium. RNAcentral's name for it is "partial 16S ribosomal RNA". It matches the Rfam family "Bacterial small subunit ribosomal RNA", at positions 524 to 776 of the family's 1533-position model. The record is from RNAcentral.